Molecule: ribosomal RNA, 1192 nt
Filed under: uncultured Rozellomycota
Lineage: Eukaryota; Fungi; Rozellomycota
Description: SSU rRNA
Rfam family: Eukaryotic small subunit ribosomal RNA
Source: RNAcentral
GAAAUAACAAUGCAGGGCCCUUGUGGUCUUGCAAUUGGAAUGAGUUAAAUUUAAAACCGAACACGAGAAACAAUUGGAGGGCAAGUCUGGUGCCAGCAGCCGCGGUAAUUCCAGCUCCAAUAGCGUAUAUUAAAGUUGUUGCAGUUAAAAAGCUCGUAGUUGGACUUUAGGGGCUCGCGGCGGGGUCUGCCUAUCGGCAGCACUGCGUCACGGCCCCUCACCUUCGGGGCGGCUGUGCUGAAAGGCGCAGCACAAUCCGAGUGCUACUUUGAAGAAAUUAGAGUGUUCAAGGCAGGCCUGACGGCCUGAAUAUAUCAGCAUGGAAUAGCAAAAUAGGACUUUGGUUCUACUUUUGUUGGUUUGGAAACCAAAGUAAUGAUUAAUAGGGGCAGUUGGGGGCAUUAGUAUUCAGUAGUCAGAGGUGAAAUUCUUGGAUUUACUGAAGACUAACUAGUGCGAAAGCAUUUGCCAAGGAUGUUUUCAUUAAUCAAGAACGAAAGUUAGGGGAUCGAAGACGAUUAGAUACCGUCGUAGUCUUAACCAUAAACUAUGCCGACUAGGGAUCGGUGGGCGUCGUUCGCGACUCCAUCGGCACCUUACGAGAAAUCAAAGUUUUUGGGUUCUGGGGGGAGUAUGGUCGCAAGGCUGAAACUUAAAGGAAUUGACGGAAGGGCACCACCAGGAGUGGAGCCUGCGGCUUAAUUUGACUCAACACGGGAAAACUCACCAGGUCCGGAAAUGGUAAGGAUUGACAGAUUGAGAGCUCUUUCUUGAUUCUAUUGUUGGUGGUGCAUGGCCGUUCUUAGUUGGUGGAGUGAUUUGUCUGGUUAAUUCCGUUAACGAACGAGACCUUAACCUGCUAAAUAGCCGGCCGAGCCUUGGCUUGCGUCGGCUUCUUAGAGGGACUGAUCACGACUAGUGGUCGGAAGUUUGAGGCAAUAACAGGUCUGUGAUGCCCUUAGAUGUUCUGGGCUGCACGCGCGCUACACUGACAAAGCCAGCGAGUGUUCACCUUGGCCGGAAGGUCCGGGUAAUCUUGUGAAACUUUGUCGUGCUGGGGAUAGACCAUUGCAAUUAUUGGUCUUCAACGAGGAAUUCCUAGUAAGCGCAAGUCAUCAGCUUGCGUUGAUUACGUCCCUGCCCUUUGUACACACCGCCCGUCGCUACUACCGAUUGAAUGGCUUAGUGAGGC